Long non-coding RNA from Ananas comosus (pineapple), 1246 nucleotides. RefSeq lists it as uncharacterized. NCBI's taxonomy places the organism in Eukaryota, Viridiplantae, Streptophyta, Magnoliopsida, Poales, Bromeliaceae. The record is from RefSeq and is a predicted model, not a curated record. The transcript has 6 exons.
AUCAAAGUGGUCACAAUAAUGCUAAAGUGGAAAAUUAAGUAUUUCUAAACUUAAUUAGUAGCAUGAGAUCAGUCCUUGGCACAUUUUGGAAGUGUGAGAAGAGAUAUGAUUGGAAUCGAAGUGGCAAAAUAACUCCAAUUGUCGAAGUUACUCUAAUGCUGAAAUUUAGGUCAAUUUGGGCAAAAAUGGUCAAAUUGAUGCCAAAUUGGAAAUUAAUUGCUUCCAAAUUAAUUUGACAACUUGUAGAGGUAUAUUAGUGUAAUUUGGAAGUGCUUGAGUGGACUUGAAGUGAGUUGGAUGGGCAAAAUAAGCUUCAAAGUGCUGUUGCAGCUAGUUGUUUAGCACAGGGACUGAAUUGUAAGCUUCAGGGACUGAAAUGUAAAUCUGAAGGUUGCAAUGCACUUUUGCAAUUUUCAGGGGUUAAACUGCAAUUUCUCAUCCUUAUCACUUAACCCCAGCUGGCUGGAGUAUAGAGACACGUAUGAGAACUUCUCUCUUUCCUCCCUUCAUCUCUUUUCUUUUACUCUCUCUCUAGGCUAAGGAAAGCUUGAGGAAAUUGGGGUUGGCAGCCUUGAGGAUUGCGGUUCAGGUGGAGGAGUUGAUCCGAACUGAGGAAGGGUUGAUGAGACUGAUGCAUUGAGUGAUUUUCUUGCUGGUCCGAGCUAAGAGGAACUUCCUAGCAGGGAAUUCCUGCUGCUGAACAACUGGUACAGCAUCUAAGUAAGCUAAGAGCUUGGGCUUAAUGGAUGCUAUAGAGCAGGGAGUUCAGUAGAGAGAGCUUGGAAUUGGGACUUGAGACUUGGGGCUUUGGGUUAGUUAAUGCUGAAAGAGAUUGGAGGAGUCUCCAAUUAAGGUUGAUUGAAGUUGCUGAAUUGGAAAUCAGCAAAGGUGCUGACUUGGAAAUCAGCAUAGGGAAUUUUGAAACUAAGGUCGACGACGCGCUAAUUACGGUAGAGACCGUUCUAGUUCUAUUUACACUGGGUCGCGAGAGCUAGUUGUCGACGAAUCUUGAGACAUUGAUUUUAGUUGAUUGACGUUACCACAGGUUCCAGUACGAGCGGUGUGGCCGAGGACCAUGGCAAGAGCCCUGCAGCCUAGCUAGUUGACACCAGAGUAUAGUAGUUUACCAUUUUGGAUUUCAUGUGAUACAUUUUGAUGUACAGAAACUUGUAAAUGAAUGUAUUAUAAAGCAUGUAAUAACUAAAUAUUUCAGUUAUGCAGUUCAGUUUGAAAGUUUUAAAUUACA